GUCGAAAAUGUUGUCUCUCUUGAGUGGAUCCUGAGUACGACGGAACACGUGAAAUUCCGUCGGAAUCUGGGAGGACCAUCUCCUAAGGCUAAAUACUCUCUAGUGACCGAUAGUGAACCAGUACCGUGAGGGAAAGGUGAAAAGCACCCCGGAAGGGGAGUGAAAUAGAACCUGAAACCGUGUGCUUACAAGUAGUCAGAGCCCGUUAAUGGGUGAUGGCGUGCCUUUUGUAGAAUGAACCGGCGAGUUACGAUUUGAUGCAAGGUUAAGCAGUAAAUGUGGAGCCGUAGCGAAAGCGAGUCUGAAUAGGGCGUUUAGUAUUUGGUCGUAGACCCGAAACCAGGUGAUCUACCCUUGGUCAGGUUGAAGUUCAGGUAACACUGAAUGGAGGACCGAACCGACUUACGUUGAAAAGUGAGCGGAUGAACUGAGGGUAGCGGAGAAAUUCCAAUCGAACCUGGAGAUAGCUGGUUCUCUCCGAAAUAGCUUUAGGGCUAGCCUCAAGUGAUGAUUAUUGGAGGUAGAGCACUGUUUGGACGAGGGGCCCCUCUCGGGUUACCGAAUUCAGACAAACUCCGAAUGCCAAUUAAUUUAACUUGGGAGUCAGAACAUGGGUGAUAAGGUCCGUGUUCGAAAGGGAAACAGCCCAGACCACCAGCUAAGGUCCCAAAAUAUAUGUUAAGUGGAAAAGGAUGUGGCGUUGCCCAGACAACUAGGAUGUUGGCUUAGAAGCAGCCAUCAUUUAAAGAGUGCGUAAUAGCUCACUAGUCGAGUGACACUGCGCCGAAAAUGUACCGGGGCUAAACAUAUUACCGAAGCUGUGGAUUGUCCUUUGGACAAUGGUAGGAGAGCGUUCUAAGGGCGUUGAAGCAUGAUCGUAAGGACAUGUGGAGCGCUUAGAAGUGAGAAUGCCGGUGUGAGUAGCGAAAGACGGGUGAGAAUCCCGUCCACCGAUUGACUAAGGUUUCCAGAGGAAGGCUCGUCCGCUCUGGGUUAGUCGGGUCCUAAGCUGAGGCCGACAGGCGUAGGCGAUGGAUAACAGGUUGAUAUUCCUGUACCACCUAUAAUCGUUUUAAUCGAUGGGGGGACGCAGUAGGAUAGGCGAAGCGUGCGAUUGGAUUGCACGUCUAAGCAGUAAGGCUGAGUAUUAGGCAAAUCCGGUACUCGUUAAGGCUGAGCUGUGAUGGGGAGAAGACAUUGAGUCUUCGAGUCGUUGAUUUCACACUGCCGAGAAAAGCCUCUAGAUAGAAAAUAGGUGCCCGUACCGCAAACCGACACAGGUAGUCAAGAUGAGAAUUCUAAGGUGAGCGAGCGAACUCUCGUUAAGGAACUCGGCAAAAUGACCCCGUAACUUCGGGAGAAGGGGUGCUCUUUAGGGUUAACGCCCAGAAGAGCCGCAGUGAAUAGGCCCAAGCGACUGUUUAUCAAAAACACAGGUCUCUGCUAAACCGUAAGGUGAUGUAUAGGGGCUGACGCCUGCCCGGUGCUGGAAGGUUAAGAGGAGUGGUUAGCUUCUGCGAAGCUACGAAUCGAAGCCCCAGUAAACGGCGGCCGUAACUAUAACGGUCCUAAGGUAGCGAAAUUCCUUGUCGGGUAAGUUCCGACCCGCACGAAAGGCGUAACGAUUUGGGCACUGUCUCAACGAGAGACUCGGUGAAAUCAUAGUACCUGUGAAGAUGCAGGUUACCCGCGACAGGACGGAAAGACCCCGUGGAGCUUUACUGUAGCCUGAUAUUGAAAUUCGGCACAGCUUGUACAGGAUAGGUAGGAGCCUUUGAAACGUGAGCGCUAGCUUACGUGGAGGCGCUGGUGGGAUACUACCCUAGCUGUGUUGGCUUUCUAACCCGCACCACUUAUCGUGGUGGGAGACAGUGUCAGGCGGGCAGUUUGACUGGGGCGGUCGCCUCCUAAAAGGUAACGGAGGCGCUCAAAGGUUCCCUCAGAAUGGUUGGAAAUCAUUCAUAGAGUGUAAAGGCAUAAGGGAGCUUGACUGCGAGACCUACAAGUCGAGCAGGGUCGAAAGACGGACUUAGUGAUCCGGUGGUUCCGCAUGGAAGGGCCAUCGCUCAACGGAUAAAAGCUACCCCGGGGAUAACAGGCUUAUCUCCCCCAAGAGUUCACAUCGACGGGGAGGUUUGGCACCUCGAUGUCGGCUCAUCGCAUCCUGGGGCUGUAGUCGGUCCCAAGGGUUGGGCUGUUCGCCCAUUAAAGCGGUACGCGAGCUGGGUUCAGAACGUCGUGAGACAGUUCGGUCCCUAUCCGUCGUGGGCGUAGGAAAUUUGAGAGGAGCUGUCCUUAGUACGAGAGGACCGGGAUGGACAUACCUCUGGUGUACCAGUUGUCGUGCCAACGGCAUAGCUGGGUAGCUAUGUGUGGACGGGAUAAGUGCUGAAAGCAUCUAAGCAUGAAGCCCCCCUCAAGAUGAGAUUUCCCAACUUCGGUUAUAAGAUCCCUCAAAGAUGAUGAGGUUAAUAGGUUCGAGGUGGAAGCAUGGUGACAUGUGGAGCUGACGAAUACUAAUCGAUCGAAGACUUAAUCAA
Molecule: ribosomal RNA, 2540 nt
Filed under: Staphylococcus aureus W79968
Lineage: Bacteria; Bacillati; Bacillota; Bacilli; Caryophanales; Staphylococcaceae
Description: bacterial LSU rRNA
Rfam family: Bacterial large subunit ribosomal RNA
Source: RNAcentral